GAUGAACGCUGGCGGCGUGCCUAAUACAUGCAAGUCGAGCGAACAGACGAGGAGCUUGCUCCUCUGACGUUAGCGGCGGACGGGUGAGUAACACGUGGAUAACCUACCUAUAAUACUGGGAUCACUUCGGGAAACCGGAGCUAAUACCGGAUAAUAUAUUGAACCGCAUGGUUCAAUAGUGAAAUACGGUUUUUCUGUCACUUAUAGAUGGUUCCGGGCCGCAUUGGCUAGUUGGUAAGGUAACGGCCUACCAAGGCGACGAUGCGUAGACGACGUGAGAGGGUGAUCGGCCGCACUGGAAGGGAGACACGGUCAAGGCUACUAAGGGAGGCAGCAGUAGGGAAUGUUCGGCAAUGGGCGAAAGCAUGACGGAGCGACGGGGAGUGAGAGAUGAAGGUGUUGGGAUCGUAAAAAUCUGUUAUUAGGGAAGAACAACUGUGUAAGUAAAUAUGGACGUAUUGACGGUAACUGAUAAGAAAGCACCGGCUAACUACGUG
Molecule: ribosomal RNA, 497 nt
Filed under: uncultured bacterium
Lineage: Bacteria
Description: partial 16S ribosomal RNA
Rfam family: Bacterial small subunit ribosomal RNA
Source: RNAcentral